UCCGCUGUGGUCCAGUGGUUAGGAUUUGUGACUCUCAAAACAGGAGUGCUCACAGGGCCCGGGUUCGAUUCCCGGCAGCGGAA
Molecule: non-coding RNA, 83 nt
Organism: Zopfia rhizophila CBS 207.26
Lineage: Eukaryota; Fungi; Ascomycota; Dothideomycetes; Zopfiaceae
Source: the annotation of a GenBank genome assembly